CUCUUAUCGAGAGUGGCGGAGGGACUGGCCCGAUGAAGCCCGGCAACCUCGCCUUGGAGCACGUAUAAGGCUUGCUCUUAAAGGCAAAGGUGCCAAUUCCUGCAGGGCAUUAUUGCUCUGAGAGAUAAGAG
This 131-nucleotide non-coding RNA is filed under the name Thermanaeromonas toyohensis. Its description in RNAcentral is "SAM-I sequence". It matches the Rfam family "SAM riboswitch aptamer (S box leader)". Rfam says of the family: The SAM riboswitch is found upstream of a number of genes which code for proteins involved in methionine or cysteine biosynthesis in Gram-positive bacteria. The SAM riboswitch acts at the level of transcription termination control. The record is from RNAcentral. RNAcentral also lists the same sequence under 1 other name. Lineage: Bacteria; Bacillati; Bacillota; Clostridia; Neomoorellales; Neomoorellaceae.